AACCCAAAUUUUGACUUCUGUCGUGUGUGCAUUUGCUACGUGCUCAAAAGUACAGGACAGCCUGUGCUGAAGGCCUCAGCUGAACUUUAGACUUUAGAAGACUUCUGUAUUAAUAUAGAAAUAGAAAAACAAAAAGAUGUAGAUUUCCAUCUAGUCUCACAGAACGUUUAUGUUUUGCGCUUAUGACGCUGUUUGUCUGAGUUUUGGCUUCACACGUCUGUAUUUUGAGUUAUUUUUGAUCCUUGUGGGUUUUUGAUAAGGGAGACAAUACAGCCUGAGGUCUAUACAAUACAAUAUCUCCUGAGGUCUUUGCAACCCUGCAUUUAGCUGAGCAACACCCAAAGGCAACAACUAUCUGUUGAUCUUCUAAAAUGUGGAAGUUAAACUGGACUGCAAGGCUCAUCUGGUAUCUUUAUAUGGACCAGAGGCAUAUGACCAAUGUCUUUCUAUCUAUUUGAGACAUGACUUCAUUUCUGGAUCACGAGACUCUUUGCUUGAAGAGACUACAUAAGGAGGUGCAAACCCCUCCUUCCUCAGCUCAGACUGAGUUCAGCCUAGACCCUUCUAGCUGGACUUAGUCUUUUCUCACCUUCUUUAUCUUUGAUUCCGGGCUCACUUGAAUACUUUGAACUUCUCUCAGUUUUGGAGGCACCCGCUGGAGAUCGUUGAAGUUUUCAUUUUAUUAAGUUUUGAUGCAACGCAAGACAAAAUAAAGAGAGGUGAGUAGCUCAUCCUUUUCUCUUUAUGGGCUUCUGUGGUGUUGCCUGCCGGGUCUAGGAGAUAUAUCUGUGGACCCACCUCGUUCAUUAAUCUUGACUGCAGCAAGAGAACGAGCCUGGGUCAUAGCCGGUGGUAUAACCGUAGACGGUGGUUUAACCGUAUUUGAAAAAUCAGCGCGCGCUGGGGGACGAGACGGCGAUCCGCGGCAUUAAAUGUGUUGUUCACUAUUGAGGGUUACUGGUAGUGUGGAUAAAUAUCUGCGCUUUACAUCCUGCGGGGUUACCGGGGGUGUAUUGCGAGCACUUGUGGGUUAAACCAAAAAUGCAACAGUAUUUUGAGACACGCGCUGUGAGGGUUUACUCACAGCGUGCUGGUCGGGUCUGAAUGCCGUCUCUUGUUUAUGGAUAUAGUCUCUGGGAUUAGACUUGGCAGUUUUCGACACAAACAGAACCCCACCUUGCGACUAAAUUUAAAAUCAAUAAAUUGUCAGACGGUGCAUUAAGUAAAAAUAAGUAGAAAUUAAGUAAAAAUAAGUAGAAAUUAAGUAAAACUAAGUAGAAAUUAAGUUAAAUAAGUAAAGGAAUUAAGUAAAGUAAGUAAAGAUAAAUAAAAAUAAGUAAAGAUAAGUAAAAAUAAGUUAAGAUAAAUAAAUAAUUAAUUUUAAUUAAGUGUAUCUGAAUUGAAUAAACCUUUUCCUUGUUGGAUUUGUCAGCACAUGAGAUAAUGGCACCUGUUCAAAUAAAAGAAACUCCAAAUGAAUAUGUGAUGUAGAAGAAAUAAGACAGAAAAUGGUUAAAGAUGGAUUUAGAGAGAUUUCGGUUCCACGCAGAUAGAGUGAAUGGGUGUUGACCCCUUAACGGUCACUCACGUUUUUGAAGAUAGACUUGAAUUUGCAUAAUACAAACCUAAAAUUUUACAAUUCAUGACCGAAAAUAUUUUGUAACAUGAUUAUGAUGUGCCAUUUACAUGGUAAUGUAAUUGUCUGAUUUUAAAAUGGGAUUUAAAGGAUGAAUUUUGAGAUUUUAUGUUUUCAAGUGAUAUAUCACUUCUGAUGAUUUAUGAAAUGUGAUAGAGAAAAAGGCAACGAGGAAGUCUUCUUUUGUAAUGUAGAUUUCUGAGUGUGUACUCUUGUCAUAAAUGAAUUUUAUUACUUUUCCUACAUAGUCUUUUAACAAGAAUAUUGGUAAAAUAUAUAUUUGAGAGUCUUGGACUUUUCCAAUGGUAUAUAGUUUGUCAGGAUUGGAUUUGAUUUGAUUGUGGUGUGGUGUAGUCGGCGCAGGCGUCCCGUAUUCGGGACGGGGUGACAGUUAACAGGUUGAAGGAAAUUACUGAUCACAAAGAACAGAAGAAAUAGGCACGUGUUUUAUGUUGUUUAUAGAUAAGGAAAGUCAAAGGGCUUUUGACAGACAGAAAUGGUAGAAUUGUACAGGUUUAUAAUUUAGCGCAAGCAGCUAGAGAGGCUAUAAGAUAUGUGGGAUUUAUUAAAAAUCUUGUAACAAAGGAGCCAAGAGCCGAUAUAGGCAAAGCUCCUAAGAUUGAUGACAUUUAUAACUGGCAGAAAUGUAACAGAUUUCUGAGAAUUGUGAAUAUAGUUUGUUAUUUCUCCUGGCAGUUUGGAAGAGCUGAGGCUGAGUGGGGCAAAUAUGUGAAAUUAUAUUCCAGGUUACCAUGUUAUAAGCAGGUGGCCAAGUGGGGGUCUAUCGAACUAUUGGUGUGCGUGAUUUACCUAGCAUUGUAAACACGCUGCCAAUUAUGAAAUCUAACUGUACUAAUUACAACCGCAAAUGAUUUUGCUACUUAAUUUAACGAACUGCGUAUUGAAGUACAGCAUGUGAUUGGAUCAGGAAUCCAAAUUUUUACUAAUGUAACAUUGAUCAGACAGGGCACUAACGAGCCCUUUGUUAAAUAUACUGAGCAUUUCACAUGAGCUUUGAAGGAGUUUGUUGCUACAAAAGAAGCUGUUGAUUUGAAAUCUCAUAUACUGUUACACACGGCACACGUGGGGAACCAGAGCUUAAGAUAUUGUUGAUCAAACGAAAAGAGCAGAUGAUGCGAUUGGAUCACCCUCUGUCUCUGUAAUUACCUGUUAUAAUUGUCAGGAAACAGGCCACUACGUAAAUAGGUGCCCUGAGCGAGAUGGAGAGCGAGGGUUUUAAAAUGUUUAAAAAGGUUCCUCUUUUCAGCAACAGCGAAGGCUACCAAAGUAGCCCCCCCCCCCCCUUCGGCCUCACUCUCAAAAUAGAGGUGAUGCAGAAAAAAGGAAAUCGACAUGCAGGCACAGCUUAAGCUGCUGAUGCCACAGGCUGACCAAAGCACUUGAGAUCAGGAUAGCUACAUAUUUAUUUAGCUACUCUAAUUUACAUUUUACAAAUAAACACAUGACUCUUCGAGGAUUAUCUGAUGGCAGUCUUUUCACAGUCUCAAUUAAUCCCCUUAAUAAUUUAUCCACUUAAGUAAACCCUUUCGGGUGCAAUUCUGGGUUGGAGAAAGUCAAGUUGGCACUGUAAUGGGAAUGGAUAUAGUGGAGAAAUUGGAAGCAGAUAUUUUAUUAACUAAAUCAAAUAGUUAGUCAAUUUUUGCCAGUUCCCAUUCCAGUCGUCAGAAAAAUUGAACUCCUAAAUUUAACAUUGGAGCUGUUACAGCAAAUGAGAAAGAGGCUACUGACUCUCCAAUGAUACAAUACUUUUCUGAGAAAUUUUCAGAUUUGUGGUCAACUUCUAAACUUGAUGGUGGUCUUUGCAGAAUUAAACCUCUAAAUGUUUCAGGUCCUGCACCUCCUCCAGUAUUCCAGUAUCCUCUUCGGAGAGAAAGAGAGAGCGGCACAGGCAAAUUGUGACCCAGCUCGAGAAAGGGAUUGUGGUAAGAUGUGCCUCUCAAUGUGAUUCACAUGUGGCCUGUAAGAAAGCCAGACGAUAACUAUAGGCUUACUAUAGACUAUACCGCAUUGAAUGCUGUGACCACCAAAGCAACCCCAUUGUUGCCAAUCAUUCAACCAUUUUAAAAGAAUCGUGCGUGCCGUCUGUUAUAAUUCAAUAUUGUGAUGAAAUUUUUCUUACAUCUAGAAAAAAGGUGCAGCAUCUGAGUGUACUCACUCUCCUGCUGAGAGCACUUCAAGAGGCUGGCUUCCUCCUGAACAAACAGGAAGUACAGCUGUUUCAACCAUUAUUACAUUUUUAGGUCAGAGUGUUGGUCGUGAGGGAGAAAGACCUCUUCCAGAUCGGGUCAUAACAAUUACAAAAUUAAAGAAGCCAACCACAGUCACUGGUUUAAGAUCAUUAAUGGGGCUAUUUAAUUUUAAUCGGGUUUAUUUCCCUGAUUUUUCUGAUUUGGCUGAACCUCUAACCGAGGCUCUUAAGGAAGGCCUUCCGGGUGCUUCCCCUCUAGAGUGGACAGCAGACAUGGCUGAGUCUUUCACUCUUCUCAAAUCCGCACCAGCCUCUUCUCCUGUGUUACAUGAACAAAACCGCUCCACAUUUGGACACAUGUAGGCCCGAAUGCUUACAACUGCGUGCUGGGACAGCAUCAAAGUGACAAAAGUUUUGGAACUGUUGGAUAUUACUCAAUUGUGAUUCCUUCUUCUAUGAAAGGACAGAUGCCAUGCUUGAUGGUGUUGGACUGUGCAGAGUGAGCACUGAAGUUCACCGAGCACAUUGUCGGCUACAACCAGACUAUUUUACAUACCCCACACCGCUUUUUACGUUUGCUACCUGAAACAAAGGUGAAAUCGAUCUCAAAUCAGCGACCUGCUAAGUGGGAAACUGCUCUAAUGAGUCCUCAGCUUACUGUUGUUACAGAUAACCGGACGAACCCUGCCUCCCUGAUGGACAACGAAGGGAGUGCAAAUGACUGUGCUGUGGUGGUUAUUUGUGACAGAGGACAUUUCGUCAGAAAUUAGACAUUUGCAAAUGUCAUGGACAUGUUCGUGGAUGGCAGCAGCUUUUAUGAGGGGGAAACACGCUACACAGGUUGGGCGGUAGUAGAGGGAGGAGGGGCGAAGUCUGUGCUGAAGGGUCGCUACGGGGAGGAAGUGCUCAGAUCGCUGAACUGCAUGCUUUGAAAGCUGCUUUAAAUUUUACACUUAAAUUAACUGCAAGCGAAAAUAGCUCCAUUUAUGUGAAUAUUUUUACUGAUAGUGCCUACAGUUAACAUGUAGUGCAGAGUUAUGGCCCUGUCUGGAAACGUCGCGGUUAUAUGACCACCGCCGGUACGCCAAUAAGUCAUCAAACCAUUAUUAAAGAAAUUCUUGAAUUCUUGAAACUUGCGAGAAAAUUUCACCUAACUGUGUUGCGGUUUGCAAGGUUACAGGUCACAGUACUUUCAAUGAUUGGUGGGCAAAAGGAAACUCGCUAGCUGAUAAGGCUGUGAGAGAGGCGGCCAGGGGUGCAUCACUUGGAGAGGUAACUGCAAUUUUCCCUGUUCAUCCAAAUUGUGCAGGAUCAGAAACUCUAUCUAAAUUGUACACAAAUGAAGAUAAUGAAAUAUGUCAAAAAGGUUAGGAGCUAUUUUAACUGAAGAAGGAAUUAAUGCUCUAAAUGAAAAGGGUGUUCCGCCUAGCAGAUAUUAAUUGAUCUAUACCACAGGAUUGCACACCAAGGGGUUCAUAAAACUAAUACUAUGUUACAACAAACAUGGUUUUGACCAGAGAUGUUACAAACUGUGAGGGACAGACUGUCCAGAUAUAUCCAUCAUUUACAAACAAAGCCACGAUUAUGAAGAGGUAUGAUAUCAAUUAGCCACAGUCCUCGUCCGCGAGGACCUUUUACACAUUGACAGGUAGAUUUUAUUUUUGUACCCUCUGAUCAUGGGUACACAUUAUGCACAUUUAAGGAUGCCCAUUCAGUGCCCUCAGCGUCCAAAAUGCUGGAGACUUAAAGACUGCUGCAUUUAAUUUAACGGCUAAAAUCCUGUACAAGUGGGGGACAAAGUAAUGGUUCAGAAAUAGGGAAUUUAGGUCCAAUGUCUUCCAGGUAUGAAGGUCCUUACUCAGUGUUGCUGACUACUCCAACUUUUCUCUCUACUCAUUGAAAUCGAGCCAGGCUUGACUCGAUGGAAGCAUCUUGCACAAGUGAAGCCCCUGUUACAGCUUGCUUAUACUAACAAUAUCUCUCAAUGCACAAUAGAUUUUCUUUUAUAGACUAAGGGUACCCUUUCUAAAAUUAAGGUUGUAAUCAAUGUUUGUUUUCAACCUCUGUGAGGUGAUUGAGGGUCUGACUUAUGUCAGGAGUGUAAUAAUUGAUUGAUUCAAUUAUCGAUUAUUUAUUUAGUGAUUGUUCACUUGCUUCCAGAGAAUCAAAAUUAACCAAAAUUCACCAUAUCUGUUCCUUAGGUUGUUGAUGAUACCGUUUUCACUUUGAAUUUGUCCAACAGGUGUAAGCUCUAUCAGACGAAUUGCUACUAAGGACGAACAAUGAUUAAUGAUUAAUUGUUUACUUCUCUCCAGGUUUCCAAUGCUGAGUUCCCCUGGAUCUAAUGUAUAUAUUUGUUUAUAAAAUGAUGAAAUGAAACUGAAAACCAUAAUGUUUACAUGUAACAAUUGUGAUUAAUGUUGUUUUAUCUGUCUUGUUGUGUCCUUGUUCGUGUGUGUGUGUAAAUGUUAUAUGUAAUGUUUGUCGCUUCGCUUUGGCAUUAUGUGUGUGUGUGUGUGUGUGUUUGUGUUUGUGUUCUUUUUGUUUCCACAUAUUUCUGUUCCUACUACUCUAAAACUAAACAGGUAUGAGUGCAUGCUGAUACGGACCUAUCCUGCGUACAUUUACCACACGACUGGUUCUAAGGGUGACCCUUUGGUGUGACUUCUGCAACAGUGCAGCUCAUCGACGAUUCGGGAGAGGUUGCUGUGCUCGUAGCUGGACAUCAGUGUUUGAUCCCAAGAACUGGACGCAUCGUCAUCACAUCGCACGCUAACUCUACAUCAUCUGAGAGACUUGUGCUUUCAUCUACCAGCUGAUAUAUAGAUUUACAAAUCCCUACAUCAAGAUGCCUCACAAGAUUAUUGAUCAAAAAGAUUAUUUUACUCCUAUUGCUGUCAGCAAUGAUGAAGAAAUGUAUGAAUUAGAGGUGAAGGGUAAGGAAAGAUACGAGAUGUUGAAAAAGAUCAACGAAAGUUUGGAAAUUUGCGACAUGAUACCCCAAUCUGAUAAGGACAAAUAUCUUAAGAAGCUACCCAUUAAGAAGAGAAAGUAUGAUGAUAAGUUUAGAGAUGGAAAGAAGGGUAUGCUGUAGUAAGUCCUCGACCCAGCAAAAGUCCAGGUGAGGUCAGGGGUCGGAUGCUUUUAGUGCUCCUCGUCUGAUCAGCUUGGUGAAGAAUUCCUGUCAACUUAACGCGGCUGGGGUUAAAGAGGUAUCUACAGUCUACCUGAAAAGAUUCAUUCACUUUUAUAUUUCCUUUAUGCUUACACGAUUAAGUGCUUAUCUGAAAUGUUUUACUUACUCAUUUUUCUGCAUAUGUAUUUGUUACCUUUGACUAUUAUGUAUCUUAUUUUCAAGGGAAAGGAUUUUGGGUGCGAGUCUUUUUGUCAAGACUCGAGUGGGGGACUGAUGUAACCCAAAUUUUGACUUCUGUCGUGUGUGCAUUUGCUACGUGCUCAAAAGUACAGGACAGCCUGUGCUGAAGGCCUCAGCUGAACUUUAGACUUUAGAAGACUUCUGUAUUAAUAUAGAAAUAGAAAAACAAAAAGAUGUAGAUUUCCAUCUAGUCUCACAGAACGUUUAUGUUUUGCGCUUAUGACGCUGUUUGUCUGAGUUUUGGCUUCACACGUCUGUAUUUUGAGUUAUUUUUGAUCCUUGUGGGUUUUUGAUAAGGGAGACAAUACAGCCUGAGGUCUAUACAAUACAAUAUCUCCUGAGGUCUUUGCAACCCUGCAUUUAGCUGAGCAACACCCAAAGGCAACAACUAUCUGUUGAUCUUCUAAAAUGUGGAAGUUAAACUGGACUGCAAGGCUCAUCUGGUAUCUUUAUAUGGACCAGAGGCAUAUGACCAAUGUCUUUCUAUCUAUUUGAGACAUGACUUCAUUUCUGGAUCACGAGACUCUUUGCUUGAAGAGACUACAUAAGGAGGUGCAAACCCCUCCUUCCUCAGCUCAGACUGAGUUCAGCCUAGACCCUUCUAGCUGGACUUAGUCUUUUCUCACCUUCUUUAUCUUUGAUUCCGGGCUCACUUGAAUACUUUGAACUUCUCUCAGGUUUUAUUCAUCUCAAAUAUGAUUAUUAUUAUAUUAUUUGUUCUUAUAUGAAUAUUAUUAUAACUUUUGACUCUUGAUAUACAGGGUAUUGUUGUAUACUUUGUAUUAUUAUUUUUAACAUCUUGAUUACUUUUGAAUAUUAUAAUGCAUUUUGUAUUACUUUUAAUUGGGCAACAUCCAUCAUACAUGGAUUGCUUUUAAAACUAUAUUAAUUUUGGGAUUUGUAUUUUCUAUAUUUGAAGCUGAUUUUAAUACUUACUAAUCUGUUUGCAAGUUAUGAGUUGUAUUCUCAUUUCCUAUAUUCUUUGAAUAAAUUUGCAUACUAAAAUACCACCCCACCGUCUGA
Carassius gibelio (silver crucian carp) is the source of this 8244-nucleotide long non-coding RNA. RefSeq lists it as uncharacterized. The transcript is spliced from 2 exons. NCBI's taxonomy places the organism in Eukaryota, Metazoa, Chordata, Actinopteri, Cypriniformes, Cyprinidae. The record is from RefSeq and is a predicted model, not a curated record.